GAUGAACGCUGGCGGCGUGCAUAACACAUUCAAGUCGAACGGUGAAGUGACUUCGGUCACGGAUCAGUGGCGGACGGGUGAGUAACGCGUGAAUAACCUGCCUGUAUGUGGGGGAUAACAACCGGAAACAGUUGCUAAUACCGCAUAAUAUAUGAGAGUCGCAUGUCUUUCAUAUCAAAGAUUUAUUGCAUACAGAUGGAUUCGCGUCCGAUUAGAUAGUUGGUGAGGUAACGGCCCACCAAGUCGACGAUCGGUAGCCGGACUGAGAGGUUGAACGGCCAUAUUGGAACUGAGAUACGGUCCAGACUCCUACGGGAGGCAGCAGUGGGGAAUAUUGGGCAAUGGACGAAAGUCUGACCCAGCGACGCCGCGUGAGGGAAGAAGGGUCCUAUGGAUUGUAAACUGCUUUUGUACGAGAAGAAACACUCCUACGUGUAGGAGCUUGACGGUAUCGUAAGAAUAAGGAUCGGCUAACUCCGUGCCAGCAGCCG
Molecule: ribosomal RNA, 491 nt
Filed under: uncultured bacterium
Lineage: Bacteria
Description: bacterial SSU rRNA
Rfam family: Bacterial small subunit ribosomal RNA
Source: RNAcentral